RNAcentral lists this transfer RNA (74 nucleotides) under Elusimicrobiota bacterium. Its description in RNAcentral is "Elusimicrobia bacterium (groundwater metagenome) tRNA-Gly". It matches the Rfam family "tRNA". Rfam says of the family: Transfer RNA (tRNA) molecules are approximately 80 nucleotides in length. Their secondary structure includes four short double-helical elements and three loops (D, anti-codon, and T loops). Further hydrogen bonds mediate the characteristic L-shaped molecular structure. tRNAs have two regions of fundamental functional importance: the anti-codon, which is responsible for specific mRNA codon recognition, and the 3' end, to which the tRNAs corresponding amino acid is attached (by aminoacyl-tRNA synthetases). tRNAs cope with the degeneracy of the genetic code in two manners: having more than one tRNA (with a specific anti-codon) for a particular amino acid; and 'wobble' base-pairing, i.e. permitting non-standard base-pairing at the 3rd anti-codon position. Lineage: Bacteria; Pseudomonadati; Elusimicrobiota. The record is from RNAcentral.
GCGGGCGUGGUUCAAUGGUAGAACAUAACCUUGCCAAGGUUGAGACGAGGGUUCGAUUCCCUUCGCCCGCUCCA